CCUACGGGAGGCAGCAGUGAGGAAUAUUGGUCAAUGGACGCGAGUCUGAACCAGCCAAGUAGCGUGAAGGAUGACUGCCCUAUGGGUUGUAAACUUCUUUUAUAUGGGAAUAAAAUGUACCAUGUGUGCGUUUUUGUAUGUACCCUAUGAAUAAGAAUCGGCUAACUCCGUGCCAGCAGCCGCGGUAAUACGGAGGAUCCGAGCGUUAUCCGGAUUUAUUGGGUUUAAAGGGAGCGUAGGUGGAUUGUUAAGUCAGUUGUGAAAGUUUGCGGCUCAACCGUAAAAGUGCAGUUGAAACUGGCAGUCGUGAGGGCAGUAGAGGUGGGCGGAAUUCGUGGUGUAGCGGUGAAAUGCUUAGAUAUCACGAAGAACUCCGAUUGCGAAGGCAGCUCACUGGACUGCAACUGACGCUGAGGCUCGAAAGUGUGGGUAUCAAACAGGAUUAGAUACCCUAGUAGUC
RNAcentral lists this ribosomal RNA (460 nucleotides) under uncultured bacterium. RNAcentral describes it as "partial 16S ribosomal RNA". It matches the Rfam family "Bacterial small subunit ribosomal RNA", at positions 338 to 795 of the family's 1533-position model. The record is from RNAcentral.